CCUACGGGUGGCAGCAGUGGGGAAUAUUGCACAAUGGGCGCAAGCCUGAUGCAGCCAUGCCGCGUGUGUGAAGAAGGCCUUCGGGUUGUAAAGCACUUUCAGCGGGGAGGAAGGCGGUGAGGUUAAUAACCUCAUCGAUUGACGUUACCCGCAGAAGAAGCACCGGCUAACUCCGUGCCAGCAGCCGCGGUAAUACGGAGGGUGCAAGCGUUAAUCGGAAUUAUUGGGCGUAAAGCGCACGCAGGCGGUCUGUCAAGUCGGAUGUGAAAUCCCCGGGCUCAACCUGGGAACUGCAUUCGAAACUGGCAGGCUAGAGUCUUGUAGAGGGGGGUAGAAUUCCAGGUGUAGCGGUGAAAUGCGUAGAGAUCUGGAGGAAUACCGGUGGCGAAGGCGGCCCCCUGGACAAAGACUGACGCUCAGGUGCGAAAGCGUGGGGAGCAAACAGGAUUAGAUACCCGUGUAGUC
This 465-nucleotide ribosomal RNA is filed under the name uncultured Klebsiella sp. RNAcentral's name for it is "bacterial SSU rRNA". It matches the Rfam family "Bacterial small subunit ribosomal RNA", at positions 338 to 795 of the family's 1533-position model. The record is from RNAcentral. Lineage: Bacteria; Pseudomonadati; Pseudomonadota; Gammaproteobacteria; Enterobacterales; Enterobacteriaceae.